RNAcentral lists this ribosomal RNA (437 nucleotides) under uncultured bacterium. Its description in RNAcentral is "bacterial SSU rRNA". It matches the Rfam family "Bacterial small subunit ribosomal RNA", at positions 28 to 463 of the family's 1533-position model. The record is from RNAcentral.
GAUGAACGCUGGCGGCGUGCUUAACACAUGCAAGUCGAACGGGAUCCAUCAGGCUUUGCUUGGUGGUGAGAGUGGCGAACGGGUGAGUAAUGCGUGACCGACCUGCCCCAUACACCGGAAUAGCUCCUGGAAACGGGUGGUAAUGCCGGAUGCUCCAGUUGAUCGCAUGGUCUUCUGGGAAAGCUUUCGCGGUAUGGGAUGGGGUCGCGUCCUAUCAGCUUGACGGCGGGGUAACGGCCCACCGUGGCUUCGACGGGUAGCCGGCCUGAGAGGGCGACCGGCCACAUUGGGACUGAGAUACGGCCCAGACUCCUACGGGAGGCAGCAGUGGGGAAUAUUGCACAAUGGGCGCAAGCCUGAUGCAGCGACGCCGCGUGAGGGAUGGAGGCCUUCGGGUUGUAAACCUCUUUUAUCGGGGAGCAAGCGAGAGUGAGUUA